This is a long non-coding RNA of Dromaius novaehollandiae (emu), 3250 nucleotides long. RefSeq lists it as uncharacterized. The transcript has 2 exons. The record is from RefSeq and is a predicted model, not a curated record. NCBI's taxonomy places the organism in Eukaryota, Metazoa, Chordata, Aves, Casuariiformes, Dromaiidae.
AGGUCUAUGCAAAAUACAUAACACAGCUGGUCACAGGUGCCAGUUCCAGUGUUGUAAAUUACAAUGUAAGUACAGUUAUUUAGAAUGACCUUUGGAAAUAAUCUGUACGCAGUGCUCCAAGAACCAUCUAGGGGAUGCCUGUUCCCAUCAGUGUACUGCCAGGCCAAGAUGGCAUUUUCUAGAGUCUAGCUGUUUGCUGUGAUAACUGAACAUGCCGAGUCUGCAAUUACGGUAUAAAAAAGCACACUAAUGUCAUGGUGUUGCUUGGAUUUUGUAACCCCAGGGUCAUACAUUCAAAGGGAUAGAAGGUGAUUCAGUUGUCCACCAAGGUCAGCAUUAAGGUACUGCAGGUCCUUACUUUUGUUUUUCUUGGGGAUCACCUAUGCCUUCUCCAGGAACAAAGCAGCCUGGUCUGGAACACCCGAACAGUCAGGUUAGGGCUAUACUAACAUUUUCCCUAGUGUGUCUAGGCAAACCAUUUGCAUUUGUACCAGUCUGUAAAGAGGGGAUCUCUUCUCUCUCCCCAGACAUUCCCUAUGAAUUCAUGUGACAAUGCCUUCAGGACAGAUGCUGCCUCUUUGACUGAAGACAGCUCUGCAUUACGUGAAGGUCUCAGGUUUCCGGCUGGGCCAGAAGGAGCAGAGGCAGUCCGGAAGCACUUUCCCUUCACUUCUCAAAACAGCACACUGCACAGCUGAGAAUGGGAAUCCUUUCUUUUGAUCUAUCCCUGCUAAUGAUGCUGUGAGGCUGUUGCAUCAGUGAGCAAAGAUGUAUCAUACAAGCAGCUUCACUGGGUACUCACUCUUCUCAAGUCACCAAAGAUGCUUUGAAGCUGGCCUCGUGGUUGCACGCAGCACCCGAAAUGCAUUUGUCCUGUGCGAUUGCAUGCCUGGGAUGGGCCGAGUCCAUUCUUCCUAUCAGAGGAGAGGUAUGUUCCUUGAAGCCGGUGCCUCCUGCUGCCCAGGUCCUCAGAUGACCCUGGACAAAGGUAGCAACAUGAACUUCGUUGAGCAAGUUAUGAGAUAAGAUGCAGUGGGACUGAUGAUUCAUUGCCUUGUCAAAUGCCAAUGUCUGCAGUAAUUGUAACCUAAAUGGGUCAUAUGUCAAUGCCUUCAAAUGGUCUUUGGUUGCAGAACUGAGCAGUAGGGUUGAGUCUUGAUGUGGGGGCAGGUUGAGGGAUGCUCAUUCUGUGCAGAUCUCCAGAGUAAUUGUGACUGAAGUAUUUGUUAGUUAAUGAAGUUUAUUGGGAGCAAGCAGAAAACACUUUGGACUCAGAAAACAACCUAAAAAAGGCACCUUUCUCCCAUAAUUCUAACUCUUGCACACUUUCUCUCCUCAGACCCCAAUGCUAAAAGGCAGUUAGGUUUCUACAGACAAUGGUAAAAUGGCACCCUGUCACGGUGGAUUACUAGCUGCCUACGUAUUGUUGGAACAUCAUCAGACUUGUGGAAACAUUGGAACAUUUAGGACCACCAAGCAAAUCGCAGCCUGCUCAGUCAAUCAUUUCUGUCAAUUAGCUACAGGCUCCAAGUAGCACUUUUGAAAGGAGUUGGGCUGCCUCUUGUAAGAGGAUCAUUUUGUAGGAAGAAUAGGAUUGAGCUAAGGUUGAAAUGAGAGUUUUUAUUCCUUUACUUGCCUGGCCUUUUUACCUCUUUAGAAAAAAAUUCCACUUAAAGCUAAACAAGAAUUCACCUUGAGAAACCCCCAGCUUCCCUCAUCAUGUCUUGCUCUCACUAUGAGUAAAACUAACUCAGAGAGACUUCCUGUCAUCCUUUUGGUAUGAUGAAAAAUAUACUUGAUUGCAAUAGUGUCUGGAUGGCACAGCCAAGAUCAGAACCGCAUUGUGCUAAGUACUAUUUGCUAAACAAAUAGGAAAUGAGAUGUUGUUCCCCACAGGGCGCUCAGUAUAUAUAGACAAAGUCAAAGGGGAUGAAGCAGUAUUAUCUCAAGCUUACAGCUGGAGGACUCCAGUCCAGAGGGAUUAUAGUAGCUUGCCCAAGGUCACACAGGAAAUCUGUGGCUGAGCUGGGAAAUGAAACCAGAUUUUCCCAGUCCCAGGCAAAUGCACCAGACACAAGAUAAUUUCUAAAAUGGAGUGGUUCAACCCACAUCCAUACUGAAGGUUUCAGGAAGGCCUGAGCCCUCCUUACAGAGGCUAUGGGAACUGCAUCUUUUGCACAUCAGCUACAUGUAGGCUGUGACUAGGACAUAGAUCUUUAUGAGUACCAUCGUGUCCUUUCUGAAAGAUUGUUUUUAAAGAUGGAAUGUCAUGUUUUACGUGAUUCUUCAUCACAUGCUAUAUGCCUAGAAAAUUUGCUUUUCAGAUGCAGCAGCAUGACUGUGCUGCUCCAGGCAUGUCAGCAUGCAUUGCUGCCCUCUCGUGUAAGCCUUGCUGUAAUUGCAGUGAUUUGACAGUGCCGAGGGGGGAAGAUUAUCUGGUGCCCUGCAUCUGGUGUAGUCUUUCACACCGGCACACAGCUAAUGCACAUUGUUACCUUUCUCAUUUAGUGGUAUUGCUGUCUCUGCCACGCUUAUUUUGUAUGGACACGAGCUACAUGACAAUGGAGAAUCCAGGUCAUAGUCUUAGUAACCACGAGGCAGAUUUGCUAGGUCAAGGUAACAGUUAAGACAACAUUAUAGCAACAAAGUGUAGUUAAAGGUCAAGCAGUGUUCUCAGGUUUCUCAUGAGCUUUGCAGAAGGGGCAGUUCUACCUCAUUGAUCAAAGUUCACCUCAGGUUGAUUCUGACUGCUAAAGUCAAAUCAUCUUUCUCAGCACACAGCAUUUAAUUAAAAGCAGUUUGGUACACUUGAUAAAAGGGGAGAUAAAAUUUAUGAGAAGCUUCAUAGGCAACAACAAAGAAAUUCCAAUUCUUCCCCACUUAAUGGCUAGCCUGAAUUUUAUUUUAGCAAUAGCAAUUGAUGGUGCCCUGUGAUACCAUGUCAGUGGGUCUUUAGCUGGACAGUAGCUGGAGAAUUCCCUCCACUUUCCAUCAUACUGCUUGUGAAAGGGGCUGACAGCAAAUGAGGAUCAAGUCACAGGUGUUUUAGUUGGUGUCCCUCCUCUCUUUCUUCUUCCACCAGAAGCCUUCCCUUUUAAAAUACCUAGGCUGCUAGUUGCCAGCACUCAUCAGUGUUCCACUGGAAAAGGUUUUUUAAGUGGACCUUUCACAAGGCCAGCUGGAACUCUUCUGAGGAUUUUUCUUCAAACUUUUGCUCUUUAAAAAAUAAAUGAUAGAAAAGUUUUCCUUC